UUUUCGCCGCUCUGCAAUCUUUAUGCUCAGUUUCCCAUGACUAAGUGCUAUGAAAAUGGUUAAAAGCGGGAAGCCUGGAUUACAGCCCAGUGCAUUAUGGGAGGAGUCUGGAAGCAGUCAAGCAGCGACCGUAGACCAAACUCCAGGAAACAAAAGACAAGAUUCAGCUUUAAGAAAACUAUACGUAAGUGAUUUGGCGAGGCCUCGUUGAAGUGGUAUUCGAAGACGGUAGUGAACAAGCCGUGCGUUCUGUUGGUAUCCUGAGGAGGAGCUUAGACAUUCUGGAGGAGCUCCAAGUCGAGCUGCUCUUCCUCCGCAUGGAAAGGAGCCAGUUGAGGUGGUUCGGGUAUUUAUCAAGGAUGCCUCCUGGAGGUGUGUUUUGGGCAUGUCCAACCAGGAGGGGACCCUGGGGCGGACCCAGGACACGUUGGAGAGAUUAUAUCUCUGGGCUGGCCUGGGAACGCCUUGGUGUUCCCCUGGAGAUGCUGGCUGGAGAGAGGGAGGUCUGGCAUCCCUGCUUAAACUGCUGCCUCACGACCUAGAACUGGAGGAGUGGCAGAUACUGGAUGGAUGGAACCAACAACAAAUGGAUGGGUUACAACUUUUCUGUGGACUCCCUAGGAUUUGAAGCCUAGACUUUUGUGUCAUUAGAACAAAUUCCUUCCAUUUUGAGAACUAUACAUUUGAUUGUAAAAGAUGAUUGUCAUGUUAUUUUUCAAGCUGAAAGGGUUAAAAUUUGCUAUUAAGUAGGAUUAUAGGUAAAGACGUCAUGCACCUGGCAGAUGUUUCAGUUUCAAACUGCUGGGCGUAUUGCUGUUGUGUCAUAAAGAACUGACUCUGAUGUCAGCCUGCAGAAAGGAGAGAUUGUGUCACCAGUUGUUGCCACGGUAACCAGUUGUUCAUCCUCUAAAAUCCAGUUGCAAUAGAGCCAUAUAGACCACUGGUCACACUAUCACAGGCUCAGUUAAAGAUGUGUUGUACUUCAAGGCAGCUAUCAACAGGAACCUUCAGACAGUUGGUCUCCACAGCAUUGCCUUGUUCAUCUGUUUGUGGAUCUGGAGGUCAGAACCUCUGCACACAAUUUGUGACAACAACUCCACACUCCCCAGUUCCCACAUCAAAAACGUCCAGAGGUCCCAUGGGAUGUGACACUUGUGUCCCUGAUAUGUCACGCACUGGCAGAACAGUGAUGGCACAACAUGCGGCCACCAGGAGGGAUCCUGGGUAUCUCUCAGUGUGGAAAGUUAGUGCUUCAUGUUUAAAAACUGAUUUGAGGAAUACAGUGACACCAGGCUUCAGUCACAUUGAGUCCCAGUUACAUUAUAGUAUUUUAGGUACUGGAGAAAAAAAGCCCUCAUUAAACAACAUAAAAUAGAUAUUAAUAUAAUAAACUUCCAGUUAUCAGAA
Long non-coding RNA from Brienomyrus brachyistius, 1407 nucleotides. RefSeq lists it as uncharacterized. The transcript is spliced from 2 exons. The record is from RefSeq and is a predicted model, not a curated record. Lineage: Eukaryota; Metazoa; Chordata; Actinopteri; Osteoglossiformes; Mormyridae.